AAUCAGGGCCCAAUCAGCUGACUGUCAGCUGGGACGGGCUGGCUUAACCCUUCCUGCGCCGCUGCCUACCCGGGAGGGAACGAGGCCCGGCGCAAAGUUUGGUGUAAGAGGGGAAGGAGUUUUUCCAGAGGGGCUUCGGCAAUCCGGGCGGACCUGGGAGGGCGGUUUGCUUUUCUUUGGAGCGCGAGACAGGCCUCCCAUCCGGAGCCCCAGCUCGCUGGGGGCUCACUCGGCUGGGAUUGGCCUGAUUCCCCUCCCCUGCCUGCCCUCCACCCCCAGGAUUGUGAAUUCGCCUCCCAGCUUUUCCUCCUCGCACCAACUCUGGUACCCAGGUGUCUGCCGGGGACCUUCCUUCCCUGAGCCUGGCCGUGCCCGGCGCUCAAACUUGGCCCCAACUCUUUGUCCGUCUCUCGGGCGCCCGUGCGGGGAAGGGACCGGGAAGGGAGGGAUGCAGUGGGGUGUCCGGAUCGGGGCUGCGGGCUGGGCGCCGCCCGGCCAUGCGCCUGCCCAGAAGGCUGGGCAUCCGUGGAGAGGGAAAGCCCAUUUUAUCCCUCUCUUUACAACGAGGUAAAAUAAGUUGUUUAGAGGCCAUUCUUCACGGAGACCGGCUGCCCGCUGGCGUCGCGUGCCCUUGGACAGAGCGAGCGCCUAUGCGAGAUAACUCCGGGGAAGCUCAAAGUCAGGUCAGCCGGGCUCAGCCUUCCGGCUCCUGACUGGCCGGAGUUUGGCCUUUGAGACUCAUAUUGCGCGCUCGCUCUCUCUCUCUCUUACACACACACACACAAACACACACACACUCACACUCACCCGUCCCCUUACGAAAUCUGACCUCUGUUUAUCAGGGUCAGGCGCGCCCUUUGCACUUUUACGUUUCCUUUAAUUAUUUCGGACUUGAUCGUGGCAGGGAGCAAGGGGGAAAAACAAUACCCCAGCCCUCACCAGCUACCCUCGAAGGGUUAAAUUUUAAACCGCGGUUUCUGGAACUAGUCCGGAAACGCAGAGUGGGGGGUGGGGUGGGGGAGGCUGCUCCCCCCACCCCCAGUUGCAAAUGCUAAUAAGUAGUUCAAAUUUCUAGAUUGAUUCUCUAAAAGUUUAUGCAAAAAAGAAAUAAAAAAGAAAAAGAAAAAAGAAGGAAACCAACAACUAACUCUGUUUCUAAGAUUUUAAAGCGAUAGGCAAGUCGAAGAAGCAGAGAUUUAUUUGGAGAGAAAGCUCCUGAAACCGACCCAGCCUUUGGAAGACCAGCCCGUCUGCUUAGAAGUUGGGACUGUUGAUUCCUUCAAUUAAUGAAAUGCAUUUGGUGUUUUUAAUCGUAUUUAUUUUACUUUAUGAGAAGGGGGAGACGCUAGGAGGGUGCAUUAAAAAAAAAAAAAAAUUCUGAAAAGCCUGCAAAAGGAUCGAAGAGUGGAAACUAUUGUUGGAGCGAGUUGGUUUUUACCUCAACAGCGCCACCUUUCGGCAAAGGUUUCUUCCUUGGAAAACAAUAUACAUCACUUAAUGAAAUCUUUGUUUGUUUUGCACAAGAGAUGUAAAAAAUCCAGAUGUUUUCUUCAGUGAGAAUUCCUGGGAAGGUGUACCAGCCUUCUUCUCUUUCUUCACCUGACAAAGACACCCAACACGGCCUCUCAGACCGGAGGUGUUUAAUAUAUAGUUUUGACACGCAUGAACAUGGGAAUGAAAGGGCUCCUUUUGGUUUUAGACAAUAGACAGAGCUAUAAAAUGAUGAUGGAGCCUGUUUUCCCCACUCUUGUCAUUUUAAGUCAAUAGAUUUCCUGGGUUUCUUCCCCCGCCCCCCCACUUUGCCUUUUCAGGGGAUAGGCAUCUCCUUAGAUUUUUGUUUUUCUUCACUUAGGGUCAGCUUUAUGAUUCGUUCUUCUGCUGUCAUCCUUUUUCAUCCUAUUCACAGCCUGUACCGGUGAGGGAAUUUGUCUCAAAAGCAUUCAGCCCUUCAAAGAUUUUUAUUGUGGUGAACUCAGAACUGAUAAACAGAAAAACAGAAACAGAAAAAGGGAACUGAUAUGGGGGCGAUCUUGAUGCGGGUUGUGUCUCUCAUGCAUGAUAACUCAGAGGACAGGCUCCUCGGUAGUGCGGUAGUGCUAACUCUGUGAAGUUUCUUCACCCUCCUUCCUAGCCCUGGAGGCGGGGUGAUUCAUAGCUCCUGUUCCAAAGGCAUUCAGCAGCCAUUCGACCUGGGAAAGAAACAGAGUUUUAGAAAAUACAGGCCAAAUGUAGAGACGCCUGUGAUUACCAGGAUGAGUAUGUCAGUGCAGGUGGCUUCUGAAUUUCUGUUUCUGAGUUUGUUUGGCUGAUGCCUAAGGAAAGGGGUCCCUUACAGCCCUGUUUUAUACCUUAGUUCUUGGUGGCAACGUGGGUGUUGCUGAUCUCUCUGAUGUGUUUUUCUGUGCACUGAAAACACCAGACAUGCUCCGUGACAUCCUCGGAGCAUCUCCCAUCAUAAUGGAGUGUUCCUAACCUGACAAAGAAUAGCAUAUUACCUCCCCAUCUACUCAAAAUAAAAUUAUAGUAAAAUUUAUCGCCCUUCUGCUAAUAUUUUUUAUUUAGUAACUUUAUAACAGUGAUACAUACUCCUUAUUAAAUAUAAACAUUUGAACAGGACAGAAAUAGAAGGAUAUUCAAUAAAAGAACUGCUACUCCUCAUCUCCACCCCAGUCCUUAAACCCUGGUCUCGGGGGUUACCAUCUGUAAUAGUUGGGGUAUAUGUGGGUACUUUUUACAGAAUGGCAUCGAAGCAUGUACAUAGUUCUUUAACUUGUGCUCCCUUUAAAACACAUUCAUGUUAACAAUCUCAGAAAGAGAUGUUGGGCACUUCUGUCUUCUUUGGCAGAACUCGCCUAAUGGAACCUCAGACCGGGGGAAGUUUGGAGAUCUGAUCUUAACCUCGUCCUUCCAACCGGUAUAGGAGCUUGAAUCUGCUUUAGAUCACCAACUUCCCUGCCAUUUCCUGACGCCAAUUUUGAAGCCAGGGGGCUCAGAGGCAUUUUCUUCAACAGAAGAGUUCAGAGUUUCAGUGUCCACCUUUGAGCUGCAACUAGUCCCUCAGUGGUGUAAAUAUGCAUGCUGCUGCAGAAUCUCCUGUUCCAGGAUCCCACCUCGACCCCUUUCAGAGAAAUCUGGGAAUGAGAGAAGGAACCGGCCCAGGAGUGAUUUAUGACCUGCUGUCUGUGUCCUGCCUGAGGAAGCAUGGCUCUGGCUGUUUGAAGCAGACCCAGACUGGGAUCCUCAGAGAUUGGAAGGAGUGAUGGGGACCCUUCAGGAAAAUGUCACCGACCGUUGACUCUCAGCUCAGCUCGAAGCUGCUGAUGAGGGGGCUGCAAAUGGACUGAGCUGCGUGAAGCGGUAAAAAACAAACCUGCUUGCAUGGAAGGAAUGUUCCUAGCCAUUUGAGGCUGAAUAUAGGGGAGAUACAAAGCACAGAUCCACUGUUGGGCAACCAUGAUGGGCCACCUGCCAAGGAGAUGGGAGAACCAGGGCCUGGAAAGGAGGAGCAUCUGCGAAGCACAGCCUGAACCAUGAAGCCUCCCCAGGCAUCAAGUCACCCAGGGGGCUGUGGACUGCGGGGGAGUGUUGUGGGGUGAGGAGCCUGGGGCUCAGACCAGCCUGCGGUAAGCAUCCUCCUACACCAAGGAGCCAAAAUGACUGCACAGUGCGAGGGCGGCGAUGCAGGCUUGGAAAACAAAACCCGCCUCCUCUCUGUCUCCUCUGAUGGGAAGCCAGGGCCAAUGGAGGGGUCUGGUUCAGGGCCCAGAGCCACCAAAACCACUUGGCUCUUGAAUGAUCUGACUUGAGGGCUAACCUAAGCCUUGUGAAAUCCCAAGAGAAUAACCUCAGGUUCUUUAAUUCUAGUGCAGACUUUAGAUGCUGUUGGAAGAGAAGAAAAGGAAAUAGUGACCCAAGUCAGUAAUUGUACUUUCCAGUAGUCCCAAAGCAUAGUUUAUAUGAGCAUCCUAUAAGAGGCCACUGGCAUCUUAAUAAAGGUAGUUAAUAGUACACAUUGCUAGUCAGUAACAGCCACACCUUGCACCCAUUUGAUAGAACCCCAAGGGUCAGAAGAUGAUCUACUGAAUAUGGCCCAGCAGGGUAACAGGAACCGAGGGGUCCUUGAAGACAGCGUCCAGCCAGGGCAUCCAAUCUGGAAUUUCCCCUCACCUACAGAUCUCUGAGUAAGAUAAAUAUUUCAUUUUGCAAGCUCUGUGUUUUGUUACUUGCAGCUAAGAGCAUUCUAACUCACAUAAUUUCUUCAGAGACACUUCUGUAAUAUGCCUACUUCUGAAUGAACUCAUGCUUCCCACACUACCCCUUGAAUACUUCUUUUACGGAGUUUACCAUUGCCUAUUUGUCUUACAUCUGUCAUACAUCUAUGAGCUCUUUGAAGACAGGGAUAGUGUCUUAUAUUCCAUCUAUUCAAAUCCCCAAUUAAGUAUAUAAAUGGAUAAAUACGUGUAGUCAAUUACUUUGGAAAUUAGAUAUUGUUGUGAGUAUAACAGGGUGUGUUUCUUGGGUGGCCCGUAAGGUCAACAGGGAGAUUUCCUUGUCCCAGAAUUAAAUGAGGAAGGUCGACUUCUGCUCCAGCCUUGAAAACUCUCGUGAGGAUGGAAGCAUGUUCAUUAUUUGUCAGUAUAAUUUAAACUCGAUUAAAGUUCCACCUCCCCAAAAAAAUGACACAAGGAAAACUUGAUAUCUAGUGCUGAUGAAUUAUGUGUUCCUGGGUCUUUUCUCCCCCCAUCUUCACUUCUUAUCUGCACAAAAGAAUGUUCUUUUUGUUUUUGACUGACUUUACCAGAAG
Molecule: long non-coding RNA, 4804 nt
Filed under: Homo sapiens (human)
Lineage: Eukaryota; Metazoa; Chordata; Mammalia; Primates; Hominidae
Description: non-protein coding lnc-WWOX-4:10
Source: RNAcentral